Molecule: non-coding RNA, 106 nt
Organism: Solanum tuberosum (potato)
Lineage: Eukaryota; Viridiplantae; Streptophyta; Magnoliopsida; Solanales; Solanaceae
Source: Rfam
GGGAUAUGAUGAGUGGUCAAUACUCGCAAUAAUUUUGCGAGAAGGACGUCCAGGCUCAGCCUGGUUACGACAAUUUGGGCGUCCUCAAUUUUACCAAUCUGAUCCC